This 23-nucleotide small nuclear RNA is filed under the name Arabidopsis thaliana (thale cress). Its description in RNAcentral is "snRNA_10752". Lineage: Eukaryota; Viridiplantae; Streptophyta; Magnoliopsida; Brassicales; Brassicaceae. The record is from RNAcentral.
UUCAUCUUAUCCUUUUAUUAUCU